AGUCGGUAGCUCAGUGGUAGAGUUCAUGCUUUGUGUGUAUGACGUCCUAGGUUCAAAUCCCAGCUGCUC
RNAcentral lists this transfer RNA (69 nucleotides) under Dallia pectoralis (Alaska blackfish). Its description in RNAcentral is "tRNA-OTHER". It matches the Rfam family "tRNA", at positions 5 to 66 of the family's 71-position model. From Rfam's summary of the family: Transfer RNA (tRNA) molecules are approximately 80 nucleotides in length. The record is from RNAcentral. Lineage: Eukaryota; Metazoa; Chordata; Actinopteri; Esociformes; Umbridae.